This 85-nucleotide transfer RNA is filed under the name Bacteroidota bacterium. Its description in RNAcentral is "tRNA-Ser". It matches the Rfam family "tRNA". Rfam says of the family: Transfer RNA (tRNA) molecules are approximately 80 nucleotides in length. Their secondary structure includes four short double-helical elements and three loops (D, anti-codon, and T loops). The record is from RNAcentral. Lineage: Bacteria; Pseudomonadati; Bacteroidota.
GGAGAGAUGGCAGAGUGGUUGAUUGCGCUUCCCUGCUAAGGAAGCGGGCCGAAAGGUUCCGUAGGUUCGAAUCCUACUCUCUCCG